CUCAUAUACAGGUUUGCCUGACAUGCUGAGGCAGGGUUUUUGACUCCCUUCCGUUCAUUCUGAAGUUCGGAUUUCAGAAAUAGAUAACACACUGGCAUUGGCCACAGUCUCUCAGGACCAGCUCACGAAGUCUUUCAGGACAAAGGUUUUGUCUUAACGCUCAAAGAUCUGCAGGACCCUGUAUGGUAGAAGAAACAUAUCAUUGUAUUUAGAAACUUCUCUAUACAUACAGGAAUUUGACAACAGUUUGUGCCACUUAUGGAUUUAAAGAACUGGCACCUUGAAUGGGAUUCUGAAUAGAAUUCGUACAGAUGGAAUGUAAAUAUCACCCUGAACUGAAUUGGCCCUCAUCCUGUCCAGCCAAUCUGGAAAUGUCUGGUUUGUCUCCUGGGAGCACUCCCCAAAGAACCUUCUACACACAGUUCUCCAACUCAAAGUCUGUUUUCAGGGAAUCCAAUUCAAGACAGGGAUAGUUGGAAGUCACAACCGUUCCAUGGACUUUGAUGUUCUUGAUAUUCAUUCUUGGUAUUGGCAUUAUGAGUUGUGACACUAGGAGGAGUCUCCAAGUGACUUUGAAAUGAGAAGACAGGAACAAAGAGGUGUCAUACAUCCCUCACAGAUGGUCAGAAAUAUCUAAAGAGUUUUUGCCAAAGAGAUAGGGUCCUGAAUGGGCAGCAGGGUUAAGAGAAAAAUGUGUAGUUAUUAAUGUUAAUGAGACAUCCUUUGCUACAAGAUGAUGGUGAGGUCUCAAGGAGAUCUAGGUUAUAUUUACAAGGGAUCACUCCAAUUACUACAUGUCCGUCUUUUCUAAAAUUAGACUUUAUUGUGCUCUAUUAAAAUAGCUUUAUCUUUAGAAGAGAGUUUCUCAAAAUGUGAUUUGGGGACCACCUGCAUCAGGAACACCUGAGAAUUUGUUAAAGUUGCAGAUUCUAGAGCCCCAUCUCAUGCUUACUGAACCAGAAUCUCUGGGAAUCUGCAUGUUUAUUUAACAAGUUUUUCAAAGCUUGCAUGUUUAGCCAGCUUUUAAAGUAAAAGUUUUCAACUGCUUUAGUUGGUAAAGGGUUUCUUUUGCAGAUGAUGAAAAUCUUCUGGAAUUGGAUAGAGGUGAUGGCUUCACAACAUUGUGAAUAUAUUAAAAACCACUGAAAUGAUUUCAGUUAAAAUGGUCAAUUUUAUGUUUUUUGAAUUUAUCUCAAUUAAAAAAAUAAAACUAGAGGGACAGAAAUUACAUCGCCAGAGGCUGCAGCUAGGAGGAGGGAAUGGAAUGCAAAAGAUCACAAGGUAAUUUGGGGGGCUUGAGGAAAAUGUUUUAAAUAUUGAUUGUGAUGGUGGUUACACAUACAAUGGCCAAUCUCAUGGAACUAUAUAACCCAAAAGGUAAAUUUUACUACAUAGAAGUUAUUUCUCAGUAAACCUGGCUAUAAAUAAACACAUAAAUAAAUAACCUCCAAGAGAUUCUUAGAAACCCUAAAGCUUAAGAACUACUGCUUUUAAGUCGUGGUCUCCAAAAUGAGGACUCACUUCUCCAGGGUUCUGGAAGACAAGCCGCUGGGGUACAGGAAGAAUAUAAUUGAAAUCCUAUUUAUAUUUUUAAAAAUGUUAACAUGAGAAAGAAAUGACAUUUUCCUAACAUUUGGAAAUCCACUUGGAAGGCUUGACUCAUAUUUAUAUAUAGAAUGACAUUGUUGCCCCCAUCCCAUCUGUGUCAUGUCAGGUACACAAGAUGUCCUGGGGGAAGACUGAGCAUUGCAUAAUGACCUUGUUGACCUCUGUGAUCUCAUUCAUUCACUUGCUUGUAGCAUAAUGCCACAUACUGCAGUUUACAGGGAUUUAUGACUUAUAAUGUCUAGUUUUAAAUAAACUAAUCCUCAAACCAAAAACAAAUGAUUUUUAAAUAUCUCUGCAAAGCAGCUCCUGAUUGAAGA
This 1925-nucleotide long non-coding RNA is filed under the name Homo sapiens (human). RNAcentral's name for it is "HSALNT0200604". Lineage: Eukaryota; Metazoa; Chordata; Mammalia; Primates; Hominidae. The record is from RNAcentral.